This 465-nucleotide ribosomal RNA is filed under the name Vreelandella stevensii. RNAcentral's name for it is "partial 16S ribosomal RNA". It matches the Rfam family "Bacterial small subunit ribosomal RNA", at positions 338 to 795 of the family's 1533-position model. Lineage: Bacteria; Pseudomonadati; Pseudomonadota; Gammaproteobacteria; Oceanospirillales; Halomonadaceae. The record is from RNAcentral.
CCUACGGGUGGCUGCAGUGGGGAAUAUUGGACAAUGGGGGGAACCCUGAUCCAGCCAUGCCGCGUGUGUGAAGAAGGCCCUCGGGUUGUAAAGCACUUUCAGUGAGGAAGAACGCCUGGUGGUUAAUACCCAUCAGGAAAGACAUCACUCACAGAAGAAGCACCGGCUAACUCCGUGCCAGCAGCCGCGGUAAUACGGAGGGUGCGAGCGUUAAUCGGAAUUACUGGGCGUAAAGCGCGCGUAGGUGGCUUGAUAAGCCGGUUGUGAAAGCCCCGGGCUCAACCUGGGAACGGCAUCCGGAACUGUCAAGCUAGAGUGCAGGAGAGGAAGGUAGAAUUCCCGAUGUAGCGGUGAAAUGCGUAGAGAUCGGGAGGAAUACCAGUGGCGAAGGCGGCCUUCUGGACUGACACUGACACUGAGGUGCGAAAGCGUGGGUAGCAAACAGGAUUAGAUACCCGAGUAGUC